AAUCAACGCUGGCGGCGUGCCUAACACAUGCAAGUCGAACGCGAAAGCCCCGCAAGGGGUAAGUAGAGUGGCAAACGGGUGAGUAACACGUGGGUGACCUGCCUUCGAGUGGGGGAUAACGUCCCGAAAGGGACGCUAAUACCGCAUGACAUCCUGCUUUUGAAAAAGCGGAGAUCAAAGCUGGGGAUCGCAAGACCUAGCGCUUGAAGAGGGGCCCGCGCCUGAUUAGCUAGUUGGUGAGGUAACGGCUCACCAAGGCGACGAUCAGUAUCCGGCCUGAGAGGGCGGACGGGCACACUGGGACUGGGACACGGCCCAGACUCCUACGGGAGGCAGCAGUGGGGAAUUGUUCGCAAUGGGCGCAAGCCUGACGACGCAACGCCGCGUGGAGGACGAAGAUCUUCGGGUCGUAAACUCCUGUCGAGCGGGACGAACGCUUCGCGGAUGAAUAAGCCGCGGAAUUGACGGUACCGCUAAAGGAAGCCCCGGCUAACUCCGUG
This 500-nucleotide ribosomal RNA is filed under the name uncultured bacterium. RNAcentral describes it as "partial 16S ribosomal RNA". It matches the Rfam family "Bacterial small subunit ribosomal RNA", at positions 29 to 507 of the family's 1533-position model. The record is from RNAcentral.